CUAUUUUUUCAGCAACAAAUGAAUCUCGUGAAGGACAUUCUACCAGAUUCUUCUACGGUAACUCACAGUCACAAAAAUCUGACGAAAAUUUGACAUUUUCUUCAUCGUCGUCAACUCCAAAGACUGAGCAGGCUGAACCUCGAAAAGCAGAGAAGAAAACUUUUCGCUCGAGUGGAAUAUUCAGAUUAAAAUGUAAGUUUUUUAAAAUUAUUUUCUUCAAGUAUUUGAUUUAAAUUGAGGAAUUUUUUAAUUUUAAUUCUUUUGUUUCUUUUUAAUUUUCAGCACCAACUAGAUCUCGCGAAGAAAUGUCUACCAGUUUAAUUGAAAAGACUGAAAAGCAAAUUUUGUCUUCGAGUAAAGGACCGGAAAGAAAAAUUUCAUUUCAUAGUCAAAGAUUAAGUUUGAAAUCACCAAGUGAUUCUCCUGAAAAGCUGUCACCGUGUUCAGUUUACCGUGUACCAACAGAAACAUCAUUAUCAUUAUCGUCAUCAACUGGACCUGAUUUAAAAAUCACUUCUUCAAAAGUAGAGAAAUCGAAAAAGCAAGAAGCUAAAUUUUCCCAUUCAACAUCAACUUCAAAAAGAGAUGGUAAAAUUUUGUAUUCUUUUUUCUUCUUUUAUAUUUUCUUAAUCUCUCUCAAUAUAAAAUUAAUAAAAUUUUCAUUUCUUCCAAUUAUAGGUGUUGACUCAUCAAUUGAAAGUGGUGCUGGCCCCUCUUCAAAACGAAAGAAAUACAGUGUCGAGAAAUCUACAAUUGGUGUUUCUUCAAACAGAAAAAGAAAGUCAAUUACUUUGGAUAAUGAAAAUAUUGAUAAACCGUUGCAUCAUAAAGUGAGAAGAAGAUUGGAAUUAAUGGGAACAGAAAAGCAUACGGUAAAAGUUUGUUUGGGAAAAUUAUGUAAAUCAGCAAACAUAAAAAAUCGAAUUGAAGAAGAUGCAAAGGUUGUUUCAUCAAUGAUGUAUGAGGCAACAACAAUGGCAUUAUUUGGCCUGUAUGAAGAAACGAAUGUUGAAAAUGUUGAAAAUUGUCCAUCAUUGUUGGAGAAAUGGACCAUCAAUGGUCCCGACUUUCUGUCAUUUUUAAUAUCAUUAAAGCAGAAAGUAAAUGCUCAACGUAAAGUAACUGAACAGGAUGCGAAAAUAAAUACAAUGGUCAACGAAUAUAAAGAAUUAAGGAAUGACAUUCCACUUUAUGAUGGAGAAUAUAGAACGGCAAUAAUUCAGGAGGCAGCUUCAGUGUUGAAUCGAAACUUUAAAACAAAUUUCACGACGCAUGCAGCAUCACGAUUAAGAAGAUAUUUGCAGCUAUUAAUGGAAAUUGAAGACGAAGAAAAAAAUCAUAUGGAAGUAGAUGAAAUUCAAGAAAUUUGUUCAGUUUACCGUAUCGAAAAUGAUAAUGAUGAAAAAAUAAAAAUUAGGAGUUUUAAAAAUAGCAUUAAAAAUGAACAAAGAAAAGAAUUUCAAAAAUCUCAAAAACAAUUUCCAGAUGAAAUGCGAGAAAAAAAAACAUCAAACUAUUGCGAUGAAAGAUAUGUUCGACAGGAAAAAUAUCUCAAACAUUGCGAUAAAGUCUAUUAUAAAAAAAGGCCAAGAAGGCGAAGAAAAAAAUCGAAAAAGGAAAAAGAAGAAGAAAAAGAGAAGAAUAAGGAAAAAGAAGAAGAAAAAGAGAAGAAUAAGGAAAAAGAAGAAGAAGAAAAAGAGAAGAAUAAGGAAGAAGAAGAAGAAAAAGAGAAGAAUAAGGAAAAAAAGAAAUUUCGAAAAAGAAGGCCUUCAUUUUAUAAACAAUCUGUUGCUGCUUUAAAUCUCCUGCUGCAAAAAAAUGAAUGUCAAGUGAAAGGAUUCCCUACUGAUUUACUACUGAAAAAGGGUGAUAAUGAUAGAAGAAAAUUGGACUUUACAAAAUUGACAAAAGAUGAAGAAUGGCAUAAAUUUUUGCCAUUUUUCAUUAUGAUUCAACAAGAAUUUCAUGAUAAAAAGAAGAAGAAUUUCACGUUAAUUCCACAAAUUUCAUUAGGCGUGAAGCAUGUGGUUUAUACAAAUACUGCUUUAAAAGAUUUGCAAGUGGCAACUGUUAUUCAAGAAAUUAAAGAAAAAAAGGCAAUUUUACAAAAAAAGAAAAGAAAAUCAGGAACGAAUAAGGAUCAUCUUCAAAGAGCAGUUGAUAAGAUGGACGAUGAAAUGAAGCGCUUAAGAGAAAUGAACAAUGAAGAAAGGUGGAAUUCAAUGUUCAACUUUAAAUCAAUCCAAAGAGGUCGAAAAAAAUUAAAGAAUGGUGGUAAAUUUUCUGGUACAAUAACGACAAAUGGUGUGGACGUGUCAGUAAUUUUUGAUUUACCCACAAAACAUGAUGUUGUGCAAUCAAAGAAGAAAGUUGGAAGUUACAAAAAAUUUUGUGGUUUUGAUCCUGGUGCGAGGGCGACUCUGGCUGGCGUCAGUAGGGAAAACGAUCCUAAUCCAACCACUAAUGUAAAAAAGGAUUCAGCUAUUUACAUUGGUAGUUGGAUGAUGAGAUGGCAGAUGGGCGACUACAGAAGAAGAGAAUUAAUGAAGAAAAAAGGUACAGACAUGCAAAAAUAUUACAAGCAACUUGCUGAGGAUCCAUGGAUGGAAAAUUUUUGCAUGACUAAUCCUCGAGAUCGCCAUCGCAUAACAAAAUAUAGAAUACAUCUUUUACAAAAUUUCCAAUCACUUCAUCAAAAAAGAUCCGUAACGCGUUUAAAAAUAGAUCAAUAUUCGGCGCACAAACGACAAGUUGAUCAACUUGUGAAUUGGAUAGUAGGUGAUACAAAGAAGAAACCCUGUUUCGUUGCUAUUGGUGGAGCAGAAAUACCUAAUUUUAUCAAGGGAUACACUAAAGCUCCUUUGAAACGUAUUCAACAAACUCUUUUCCAAAGAUCAGAAGAAUUAGGAAAAGAUAAAUUGCAAGUCGUGAAAGUAAAUGAGUUUAAUACAACAAAAAUGUGUAGUCGCUGUGUGAGACCACUUAAAAUAUCAAAAAGUCCCCAUCGCUACACUUAUUGUGCGAAAUGCAAGACAACGUGGGAAAGAGAUGUAAAUGCAGGACGCAAUAUUCUUAAUCUUGCACUUGUUCAAGAAAAAAUCAUACCAAAGGAUUCCAUAAAAAAUCACCAUCUAUUUCGGAUCAAAAAUGAUGACAUUGAACAUGAGGCUGCAGAAUUGCAGAAAUAAUUUUUCCCAUCACUUUCAACAUUCAUUUUUAAAUCACUAAGUAAAUCUUUUCAAGGACUUUGAAAAGGAGGAACCUCAACAACCGGAAAUACAAAUUUCUACGAUGGACAAUAUACUGCUUAAUUGCGGAAAUAAUUUAACAAAACAUUAUUCGGUCCUGGUGGUGAUGGCUUUUUGCCAUUGUACAUACCGGGAGAUCUCUUAUGAGAUCCGAACCAGCCUGUAAAAAGGCAUACCAGAAGCAUUUUUGUCGCGCAAGCGCAGUUGCGUUUGGUGAGGGUACCUGGCAGCUCUGUGUAAUAAAAAAAAAAGGUGAUAAAUACUUGGAAAAGUUAAUAAACGCAUGUAAUAUUCUAUUAUUUCUCUAU
Molecule: RNA transcript, 3556 nt
Organism: Leptopilina heterotoma
Lineage: Eukaryota; Metazoa; Arthropoda; Insecta; Hymenoptera; Figitidae
Gene name: golgin subfamily A member 6-like protein 1
Exons: 4
Source: RefSeq, a predicted model, not a curated record